UGUAGCGUGAAGCAUGCAAAGUGGACGUGAAGAUUUGGUAUUGUGCAUGGUUUGGCUACGUGAAGGACAUGCAUGGGAUGUGAGUGGGAUUUUCACGUGAGCUAAGUGGCCUAAGGUGUUAGUGCAUGUGUGGUACACUAGUGGCGCACUAAAUGGUGGUCACAUGCAUGGUGUGGUUCACGUAAAGAAGCUUGGCAUUUGGUGGCUUUGUGGUGAAUUGCAUGUGGUGAGCACCACCUAGUGGGACAUGUGGCGCGCCCAA
This 262-nucleotide unclassified non-coding RNA is filed under the name Hevea brasiliensis (rubber tree). Lineage: Eukaryota; Viridiplantae; Streptophyta; Magnoliopsida; Malpighiales; Euphorbiaceae. The record is from RNAcentral.